Pieris rapae (cabbage white) is the source of this 229-nucleotide long non-coding RNA. RefSeq lists it as uncharacterized. The transcript is spliced from 3 exons. The record is from RefSeq and is a predicted model, not a curated record. Lineage: Eukaryota; Metazoa; Arthropoda; Insecta; Lepidoptera; Pieridae.
GUCGUUUUGCUCGAGUAGCGUGUGCUCUUCUUAAGUUUCGUUUUUAAUAAUAUUGUUUAAUUUAUUUUUAAUAAAAUAUGUUCGAUAAUAUAUUGUUAAAUACAAUUACACCCUUAGGAAAUAUGAAUGAGCUCACCAACUGGGAGAAUCGACCUUUCCAGACAAUAUGGCCUGAGAAGAAACAACUUUCGAAUAAAGAUGCCUUGGUUACCAAGAUGGUCCGAAAGAA